AAGAGGGAAGCAUAAGUGGUUUAAGUAUGCGGCUGGCUUGAAACCAGCAUGUGAGGGUUCGACUCCUU
RNAcentral lists this transfer RNA (68 nucleotides) under Pyrrhura rupicola (black-capped parakeet). RNAcentral's name for it is "tRNA-Ser". RNAcentral also lists the same sequence under 1 other name. Lineage: Eukaryota; Metazoa; Chordata; Aves; Psittaciformes; Psittacidae. The record is from RNAcentral.